RNAcentral lists this ribosomal RNA (477 nucleotides) under Candidatus Brocadia fulgida. Its description in RNAcentral is "bacterial SSU rRNA". It matches the Rfam family "Bacterial small subunit ribosomal RNA", at positions 365 to 832 of the family's 1533-position model. Lineage: Bacteria; Pseudomonadati; Planctomycetota; Candidatus Brocadiia; Candidatus Brocadiales; Candidatus Brocadiaceae. The record is from RNAcentral.
UUCGCAAUGCCCGAAAGGGUGACGAAGCGACGCCGCGUGCGGGAAGAAGGCCUUCGGGUUGUAAACCGCUGUCGGGAGUUAAGAAAUGCAAGGGUGUUAACAGCAUCCUUGCUUGACUAUGGCUCCGGAGGAAGCCACGGCUAACUCUGUGCCAGCAGCCGCGGUAAUACAGAGGCGGCAAGCGUUGUUCGGAAUUAUUGGGCGUAAAGAGCACGUAGGCGGCUGUGUAAGUCGGUUGUGAAAGCCUUCCGCUCAACGGGAGAACGGCAUCCGAUACUGCAUGGCUUGAGUGCGGGAGGGGAGAGUGGAACUUCUGGUGGAGCGGUGAAAUGCGUAGAUAUCAGAAGGAACACCGGCGGCGAAGGCGACUCUCUGGCCCGUAACUGACGCUGAGUGUGCGAAAGCUAGGGGAGCAAACGGGAUUAGAUACCCCGGUAGUCCUAGCCGUAAACGAUGGGCACUAAGUAGAGGGGUUUU